GGUUGGGCAACAACUAAUUGAUCACAGCCAGUUACAGAUUUCUUUGUUCCUUCUCCACUCCCACUGCUUCACUUGACUAGCCUUAA
Molecule: Y RNA, 86 nt
Filed under: Cavia porcellus (domestic guinea pig)
Lineage: Eukaryota; Metazoa; Chordata; Mammalia; Rodentia; Caviidae
Description: Y RNA (ENSCPOG00000017623.3)
Rfam family: Y RNA
About the family: Y RNAs are components of the Ro ribonucleoprotein particle (Ro RNP), in association with Ro60 and La proteins. The Y RNAs and Ro60 and La proteins are well conserved, but the function of the Ro RNP is not known. In humans the RNA component can be one of four small RNAs -- hY1, hY3, hY4 and hY5.
Source: RNAcentral